AAAAGAAAAAGGUUCAUGGAGGCCAUUAGGGUUCGGCAACUUCAAGCUUUAAUUAGCUUCGUGCUGGUAUUAUAUCCGGGUUAAAUCCCGCAGGCUUAGUGCUGGUAUUAUAUUCGAGCUUAAAGUCCUGCAGGUUUUGUGCUGGUGACUGGAUUCGGGUUUUAACCUAGCAGGCUUAACGCCGGUGAUUCAAGUAAGAUUAUGAAUUCGAAAGUUCGAGGUAAACUACUAUUGAUUAUGUAUGAUACAUUAUGAUAGUCAGGUACGUAUUAUGCACUCGCAUGUGAAUUGAUUUUUAAGGUGAA
Molecule: long non-coding RNA, 305 nt
Organism: Gossypium arboreum
Lineage: Eukaryota; Viridiplantae; Streptophyta; Magnoliopsida; Malvales; Malvaceae
Exons: 2
Source: RefSeq, a predicted model, not a curated record